This 228-nucleotide ribosomal RNA is filed under the name uncultured bacterium. Its description in RNAcentral is "partial 16S ribosomal RNA". It matches the Rfam family "Bacterial small subunit ribosomal RNA", at positions 104 to 334 of the family's 1533-position model. The record is from RNAcentral.
CGGGGUGAGUAAUGCUUGGGAAUCUGGCUUAUGGAGGGGGAUAACUACGGGAAACUGUAGCUAAUACCGCGUAGUGUCGAGAGACGAAAGUGCGGGCCGAAAGGCCGCAUGCCAUGAGAUGAGCCCAAGUGGGAUUAGGUAGUUGGUGGGGUAAAGGCCUACCAAGCCUGCGAUCUCUAGCUGGUCUGAGAGGAUGGCCAGCCACACUGGAACUGAGACACGGUCCAG